Molecule: non-coding RNA, 72 nt
Organism: Parelaphostrongylus tenuis
Lineage: Eukaryota; Metazoa; Nematoda; Chromadorea; Rhabditida; Metastrongylidae
Source: the annotation of a GenBank genome assembly
GCGUCGGUGGUGCAACAGUUAGCAUACGCUCCCGGAAAGAGUAAGAUCUGAGUUCGAAUCCCGGCUCACGCA